GGUUGUGGCAUCAUAAGGAUAUCUUUUCUGUAUUGAAGAACAAUAUUGGAACAAAAAAUGUUGAGAGCUUGAUUCUAAACUCGCCUCCACAUAAAGAAGACUUGAAUGCCAAUGCCUUCUCAGAGAUGACAAGACUAAGGUUAUUUAAAAUCCACGAUGUGCUUCUUCCUAAAGGCCUCACUUAUCUUUCUAAUGAGCUACAAUUGAUCGAAUGGCAUGAUUAUCCUUUGAAAUCCAUGCCAAGGAGUUUUCAACCAAAUAAUCUUGUUGAACUUAUUAUGCCUUGUAGCUGCAUUGAGCAACUACCAAAAGGAUUUAGGAACUUAAGCCAGCUAAAACUCAUUGACCUAAGUUACUCUCAAAGCUUAAUCAGUACUCCUGAUUUCAUUGGAUUUCAA
This is a long non-coding RNA of Quercus robur (English oak), 398 nucleotides long. RefSeq lists it as uncharacterized. NCBI's taxonomy places the organism in Eukaryota, Viridiplantae, Streptophyta, Magnoliopsida, Fagales, Fagaceae. The record is from RefSeq and is a predicted model, not a curated record. The transcript is spliced from 3 exons.